Molecule: ribosomal RNA, 257 nt
Filed under: uncultured bacterium
Lineage: Bacteria
Description: partial 16S ribosomal RNA
Rfam family: Bacterial small subunit ribosomal RNA
Source: RNAcentral
UACGGAGGGUGCAAGCGUUAUCCGGAUUCACUGGGUUUAAAGGGUGCGUAGGUGGGAAUGUAAGUCAGUGGUGAAAUCUCCGUGCUUAACACGGAAACUGCCAUUGAUACGAUGUUUUCUUGAAUUUUUCUGGAGGUUAGCGGAAUAUGUCAUGUAGCGGUGAAAUGCUUAGAUAUGACAUAGAACACCAAUUGCGAAGGCAGCUAACUACAGGGAUAUUACACUGAGGCACGAAAAGCGUGGGGGAUCAAAACAGG